GUGCUUGCUUCAGCAGUACAUUUGACUAAAAUUGGAAUGAUACAGAGGAGAUUAACAUGGCCCCUGUGCAAAUUCAUGAAACAUUUUAUAUUUUU
Molecule: small nuclear RNA, 95 nt
Organism: Tupaia belangeri (northern tree shrew)
Lineage: Eukaryota; Metazoa; Chordata; Mammalia; Scandentia; Tupaiidae
Source: Ensembl